Molecule: non-coding RNA, 881 nt
Organism: Cherax quadricarinatus
Lineage: Eukaryota; Metazoa; Arthropoda; Malacostraca; Decapoda; Parastacidae
Source: RefSeq, a predicted model, not a curated record
GCUUGUUAGUAACAAAUAAGGAAGUAUUAAGAGCUUGUUAGUAACAAAUAAGGAAGUAUUAAGAGCUUGUUAGUAACAAAUAAGGAAGUAUUAAGAGCUUGUUAGUAACAAAUAAGGAAGUAUUAAGAGCAUGUUAGUAACAAAUAAGGAAGUAUUAAGAGCAUGUUAGUAACAAAUAAGGAAGUAUUAAGAGCUUGUUAGUAACAAAUAAGGAAGUAUUAAGAGCUUGUUAAUAACAAAUAAGGAAGUAUUAAGAGCUUGUUAGUAACAAAUAAGGAAGUAUUAAGAGCAUGUUAGUAACAAAUAAGGAAGUAUUAAGAGCUUGUUAGUAACAAAUAAGGAAGUAUUAAGAGCAUGUUAAUAACAAAUAAGGAAGUAUUAAGAGCUUGUUAGUAACAAAUAAGGAAGUAUUAAGAGCUUGUUAGUAACAAAUAAGGAAGUAUUCAGUAAUCAGUAGUUAUAAAGAAGGAACUAUACAGUGGGACAAGACUCGCCACAGCCUCAAUUAACCAUUUCAUAUUAUAGUAACUGAUCAAUUAUAUUACAUUAAUUGGUCAAUUAAAUUAAUUAGGCGCUUAUAUAAUUGAUCAAUUAUAUAACUGAUCAAUUGAUCUGUGAGAAUGACUUAUCUCUCAUAUACAUGAAAUGGAAUUUGUAUAAGAUGUAUAUAUACAUAUUACUAUAUAUUCAAAAUCUUAUACAUACAUACAUAUAUGCAUAGCACUUGAUUCACAUACACGGAGUGAAGGGGCGGGGUCGUGGGCGUGUGCUGGGGACCCCCCCUUCCCCCCUCCUUCCUUCCUACCCUCCCUCCCGCAGCAAAGUAUUGAUGAUGCAAGUAUUGAUAUGGCUGGCCACGGAAACUAUAAGUGACACGCACC